This 253-nucleotide ribosomal RNA is filed under the name uncultured bacterium. RNAcentral describes it as "partial 16S ribosomal RNA". It matches the Rfam family "Bacterial small subunit ribosomal RNA", at positions 524 to 776 of the family's 1533-position model. The record is from RNAcentral.
UACGGAGGGUGCAAACGUUGCUCGGAAUCAUUGGGCGUAAAGCGCACGUAGGCGGCUCGUUAAGUCGGAUGUGAAAGCCCUGGGCUCAACCCAGGAAGUGCAUACGAAACUGGCGAGCUUGAGUAUGGAAGAGGGACGCGGAAUUCCCGGUGUAGAGGUGAAAUUCGUAGAUAUCGGGAGGAACACCAGUGGCGAAGGCGGCGACCUGGGCCAAUACUGACGCUGAGGUGCGAAAGCGUGGGGAGCAAACAGG